UGGGGAAUCGUUCCGCAAUGGACGAAAGUCUGACGGAGCAACGCCGCGUGAGUGAAGAAGGUUUUCGGAUCGUAAAACUCUGUCUUUUGGGGCGAACGUGAGUAUGGUGAACAAUCAUAGUCAGUGACGGUACCAAAGGAGGAAGCCACGGCUAACUACGUGCCAGCAGCCGCGGUAAUACGUAGGUGGCAAGCGUUGUCCGGAAUUAUUGGGCGUAAAGAGCGCGUAGGCGGGAUAGUCAGUCUGUUGUAAAGUGCGGGGCUCAACCCCGUGAUGGCAAUGGAAACAGCUAUUCUUGAGUGCAGGAGAGGAAAGUGGAAUUCCCAGUGUAGCGGUGAAAUGCGUAGAUAUUGGGAGGAACACCAGUGGCGAAGGCGACUUUCUGGACUGUGUCUGACGCUGAGGCGCGAAAGCCAGAGGAGCGAACGGGGAUUUAGAUACCCCCGGUAGUCCUGGCCGUAAACGAUGGGUACUAGGUGUGGGAGGUAUCGACCCCUUCCGUG
This 503-nucleotide ribosomal RNA is filed under the name uncultured bacterium. Its description in RNAcentral is "partial 16S ribosomal RNA". It matches the Rfam family "Bacterial small subunit ribosomal RNA", at positions 355 to 845 of the family's 1533-position model. The record is from RNAcentral.